GUCCAACUGAGGGGAAUAUACAGGGAAGUCGAAGAUCGAUUGUUCCCUUUGGCCUGAAAGUGAGGGUAUGAAUGAUUACACCCUCCAUGAUCGUUAUAGAAAAUAAGCGGUGUGCAGGACUUCAUGUUUGUGUAUUUUGUACUUCUAGAUGUGUACUUGAAAGAUGUUCAAGAGUCGGCAUAUACUGUAUGCUAUGCUCGGAGAUGCUCAAUG
Molecule: unclassified non-coding RNA, 213 nt
Filed under: Hevea brasiliensis (rubber tree)
Lineage: Eukaryota; Viridiplantae; Streptophyta; Magnoliopsida; Malpighiales; Euphorbiaceae
Source: RNAcentral